Long non-coding RNA from Ipomoea nil (Japanese morning glory), 534 nucleotides. RefSeq lists it as uncharacterized. The record is from RefSeq and is a predicted model, not a curated record. The transcript has 2 exons. Lineage: Eukaryota; Viridiplantae; Streptophyta; Magnoliopsida; Solanales; Convolvulaceae.
AUAACACACUUCCUCAUACAACAAAAAGAAGAAGAAAAUUAAAAGAUCGAAAUGGUUCUUACAAAACUCAACAAAGUGACUUUUGUCGCUCUCCUUGUCUGCUUCAUCCUCAUUGCAUCAUAUGAAACACAAAUGGUUGAAGCAAAGAAUUGAAUGAAACACAAAAGUUGGGGCGGCAGCUGCCCUCCGAUGAGGUGCAAAAAUUGGUGCCAAGGCAAGGGGGGCCACAAGUGGUAUUGUCAGAAUCACCAGUGCUACUGCCUAUAUAAGUGUGGUAGUUAAAUGGAAAUAUAUAUUUAUCCUGCACUAUUUUCAUACCAUCAAAAUAGUGCAUCAUAUUGUAAAUCUUAUUCUAUCAUGUAAUAAAAAUAAAUAAAUGUUGCUAUACAUACAAAUGACUUGAGUCAUUUUGUCACAGAGCAACAAUUGUAUGUUGUAAUAUGUACACAUGACACUAGUUGUGUGUAUUUUAACGUAUUGUAUGAUAAAUACUAUCAUUACUAUAUGUAUAAUGUGCCGUAUUUGAGUUUUUAA